UCCAAACACACAAAACCCAUUAUUUACAACCGUGAAUCCUCCAUCGAUGACAAGAUUGUGACCACUAACAUACUUAGACUCAUCACUUCCCAAGUAUAGAGCAGCUUCAGCCACAUCUUUUGGCACAAGAUUAGCACCCUUUAGGUUAGAAUAAACAUCUAAAACAUCAUCAUCAUCAUCGAGCUUAAAAUAUUUCUUAACCAACGGAGUUGCAACAAUAUAAGGUGACACACAAUUCACCCGAAUACCAAACCGUCCAAGCUCGAUGGCCGUGUUUCUCAUCAGCCCAACAACGGCGUGCUUUGCACUUGUGUAGGCAUGUGGAGCGACACCACCUAUGCUUCCACAAACACUAGCUGUGUUAAUUAUGCUACCCCGUCGAGCGGGGAUCAUUACCCUUGAUGCAUGCUUUGUUCCAAGAAAGACACCAGUCAAGUUUACUUUAAUCACAUCCUCAAAUUCAGAUAAUUUGUUUUCAAGUAUCUUUGUUUUGUUUACACCGCUUAUGCCAGCGUUGUUAAACAUGAUAUCUAGUUUACCGUACUUGAAAACGGUUGUGUUCACGGCAUUUUCAAUGUCUUCUUCCUUUGUCACGUCACAACGAACAUAGGAAGAAGACGAUUUUUGUAAUUCCUUGCAAAUAGAGUGUCCUUUGUCGUCUUGGAUGUCAGCUAUAACGACUUGAGCUCCAUGCUCGGAGAAGAGUCUUGCAGUGGCCUCACCAAUGCCGCUCGCACCACCGGUGAUCAAAGCUACCUUCCCCUCAAGCCUUGUAAAUGAAUUGAGCAUGACAAAUUGUAAGUUAACUAUAACUUAAUUACAGUUCUAUAAGGUGAUAACCAAUUGGGUUUAUUAUAUAAAAUAAAAUAAAAUAUCAUUUUUAAGAAAUAAAUGAAAUAAGGUGAAGUUGCAACUUGUUUAUACCUUCUUAAGGCAUUAGAGACCAAUGGAACGGUUGACAUUGUUAGCUUUUCAAGUUUCUGGAUAGUCGAGGAGAAAUAUAGGUUUGGAUCUUCACUUCCUUCAACUAUCUUAUUGCAUCGUCCAUUAAAUAAAGCCCCAAGCUUUAAUCAUUUUUUCAAUAGUACUAAUGAUGGCGUUGAAUUAUUAUGUAGUUGCCUUCGUGGACCGUAGUAACACAAGGAACUUAUGGACCACAUGUUUUAAUUUUUAAAAAUUAUGCAGAAAGUGAUGUGUACCAACCAUUUACCAAUAAUGAAUGAAUGAGAAACGUUUUUUUUGAACAAUUAAAAAUGAAAUAUAUAUUAACCGCCAAAAGCAAACUCCACUAGCACAAGGUGUGCCAAAUGAAUUACUUUAAAAACAAACAGUCAGACAAGUAUCCAAAAACAAACCAUUAAGUGAUGCCCAAACAUUGAAAGGGACUUGAACACCAACUAUCUGUACCAAACCUAAAAACAACAUUUUUGGCUUUCAACCAGGCUAAAGACUUAUAUUUAACUUUAUCUAACAACCUGGGAAUAGAAGUUACAACAUUAUUAAAGAGUCUGUUAUUACGCUCAUUCCAUAAAACCCAAAUGCACAAAAGCCAAAUAAGCUGAAGGAAGGCGCGAGUUGCUUUGCCACCACCUGACAAGUUCACAAACUGGAGAAAAUGAUUUGGUAGAACGUUGGUUAGUGGCCUGUUAAGGAAAUUGUUAUAUGUAAAUGUGCUAAACAAUAGCCGGCCCUAAGUUUUUAGUGAGAGAAACUCUGUCUUCUCUCUAAGUUUUCUUCCUCUUUCGCUCAUCGAGGAGGGGUGAUUUAAGGUCAAUUUUUGACCUAGAAUCACCCUCUGCAUCUUUUUUCCCCUUUCUUUUAAUCUAAAUUAGUGAUUUUCACAUACAUCAAGUUUUUCGUUCGUGAUUUCGUCGUCUUAAUUUGACGUUGUGCUGUUCGUCGUCUUGUGCAGCGUUGUUUGAUUUCACAUCCUUUGUUGUGCGGUGUUCGUUUGGUUCGUAUUGAAAGAUUAACUUCAGACAAUCAAAAAUUCAAUUAAUGAUUUGGGCAUCAACGUUGCAGAUCCAAAAGCAUAGGUAUUCUGGUGAUUUAGAUUUCAUCAUAUUAUUUGUAGGCAUUUUGCUAUUGUACGUUAUUAACUUGGGUGUUGUGAGUUUGUUUGCAGAUUCACCCUAUAUGUUUUUAGCGAUAUUGAUCAUGCUAUUGUCUCUGAUGUAUUCUAUCAAUUUGAAUGAAUGAAUAUCUUUUAUUUUUGUCACAAAAAAAGGAAACUGUUAGAGUCCACAUCGGUUAAAUAAAAGUGUUUGAUGUGAUACUUACGUCACGAGACUCUCCCACUUAAUAGAAUAGUCUUUUGGGUUGGGCUCUCCUCAUGGGCUUAAGUCCUAAGAAUUGAUGCUCUCGUUGAGAGUUGGAUCACGGAAAGGGCUACAUAUAUUAUGGAUUAAGGUGCUCCAUUGAAUACUGAUAGGUGAGUGAAGCCGCCAAAAAGGAAAGAGCUACCAUUGGGUCAGUUUGAUAGAGUGAAAGUCGUCGUGGACGCCGACUCUUAAAGGGCGUGGCAAUGUUAGGAGUCCUACAUCGAUUAAAUAAACGUGUUUGAUUUGGUACUUAAACCAUGAGACUUUCCUACCUAAUGGACUAAUUUUUUGGGUUGAACUCUCCUCAUAGAUUUAAGUAACUUAACAUACAAAUAUAAUCAUCAUGAAUAUGUCAAUGUUGAAGAUUCGUUGUUGCAUUGUAAGAGAAAUAAAAGCAAAACUCAUCUUAGUUCUUACAACAUCAUGUAAAGCAGCCACUACAAAACGAUGGAUAUAAUUAAGAGAAAUUCUUGUGUAUGAACGAACAUAACUAUCAUUCUUACAAACAACAAAUUAAAACAUGAUACGUCAUUUUUUUCUUCUUUUAAUCAUGAUUGGUGGUGGUGAAUACUAACUGCAAAUAAUGGUCGAGAGAGAGGAGGAGCAGUUAUUUUUCAUUUCUUAAAUUAUUUCCAAAUUAUUUUAAAAUAAAACAAUGACGUGUCAUGUUUUAAUUUAUUGUUUGUAAGAAUGAUAUAUUAGGUUCGUUCCUAGACAAGAAUUUCUCUAUAAUCAAUAUAUCUUUUGUUUUUCUAACAAUAACUUAUUAUUUUAGAUUAUUUUAUAUGUCGUGUAUAAAAUAAAAAAUAGUUUGGUUUUGAUAAAUAUCAAUUUGUUUGUUAAAUGCAUCGGAUACAACUACAAAUUUUGAACUCAUCGGUGAAAGUAGUAUCGAUAUUACCAAGAAAAAGCAUUUUCAUCGCACAUCCAUUCACAAAAAUUUAUUAAGAUCAACAAUUCUUGAUUUUGAUAUAAUAUAUAUGAUGAUGAGCUUCUGGAUAUUUCCUAGACUACUCAAGUUACACUAUAAAAUAUAGCAGGUUUCUUCCUCUAACUUUCACGAAGUUGCAAUUUUGGCCUCCUAAAAAAAAAUUAUAAAAUCGUCCCCUAAGUUUUGCAACUGUAGCAGUUUUGGCCCCCAAAGCAAAAAAAAAAAUAAAAAAAAUAACACGUGGUACCUCACUUAGGGUGGCACGUCAGCAUAGACCGAGUAAAAAUUGGUCUUGGGUGAUUACGAAAUAUAUUACAUCGUUUGUAUUACGAAAUAAUUGAUUCUCAUGUAAUAUAUGUUUUUAUUUUAGCGGGUGGAUCCACUAACAACAAAAAAUCAUUGUUGACGAAAUGGUUGAAUGCGAGUGUAUGAUUUUUACUUGAAAGGAAGCAUUUGCCAAAAGAAUUUUGGGGGUGAAAGAGUAUCCACAGCUAUAUGAAUUUUGGGAGAGAUUGGGAACAUAACAUUUCUAGCUAAAUCUGAAUUAGUGAAAUUAGAAGAUGCUAUAAUAGAUUUCCGGCUAUUGACAUAUUUUCUGGGAAGAGUUUCUAAGAACAAGCAAAUGGAUUUUAAUGCAUCAAAGCAGGUAUGCAAGAGAUAUACUAAAGAAUAUUUAGAUGGAACACUACAAUAUAUAGUGCGGUAUCACUAUCACCUGCUGAACCCAGAUUGCAACUGAUAGUUUCUCUAUCAUCUUAUGAGGAAGAGUGCAUCUCAGCUGCACUAAGUACAUGUCAAGAAAUAUGGCUUAAGAAUAUGAUAAAGGAGAUAAGUAGUGAAAAUUGUGAUGUUGUGACAAUGAAGAUAGACAAUGUGUCAGCUAUACAAUUGGAAAAGAAUCCUAUUGCGCAUAGUAGGAGAAACCUACCUUACAAAGUAGGUCUGCAUGGGAAACCUAUCGCUACUGCAUUGCGAAAAUGAAGAACAAAUAGCAGAGUUGUUGACUGUGCAAGUGUUUCAGAAACUAAGAGAUCAAAUAGGAAUGGAAACUUUGGCUAACUUGAAUUAAGGUCAUGCUUUGAGAAUUAAUUCAAUUUAGCUUAGUCAAAAUAAUGUGAUUACUUGUGAUAUAAGUAAUGUUAAAAUAGAGUUUGUGAGAUUACUUGUUGCGCAAGUAACAUAGUGAUAGAACUUCAAAAAACAAAUUAUUACUAUAGGAGAAUAUUGAGAACAUGACGAGAGUAUUAGAGAAAAUAUUGUCAUAAAAGUUGUCAUAAAAUGGUUGUUCAAAUAUCAUUCUCUUUAUUCAUAAUACGUUGUCAUAUUCCAAUGGUAACAGUCUUGAUGCAACUUACAAGACACCCAAAACAACAAUAAUUGCAUUAUGCAUAAAGAAAACUAUCAACACAUACUGUGCACAUAUUUAGACAGAUUGUCCAAACACAGAAAAUCCAUUGUUAGAGACACUGACUGCUCCAUCUACGACAAGAUUGUGACCACUAACAUACUUAGAUUCGUCACUGCCCAAGUAAAGAGAAGCUUCAGCCACAUCUUUAGGCACAAGAUUAGUACCCUUUAGGUUAGAAUAAAGCCCUAGAAGCCCUUCAUCAUCAAGCUUUAAGAAGUUCUUAGCCAUCGGUGUGGCGACAAUAUAAGGUGAAACACAAUUCACCCGAAUACUGAACGGUCCAAGUUCGAUUGCCGUGUUUCUCAUCAGCCCCAAAACAGCAUGCUUUGAACUUGUGUAGGCAUGUGAAGCCAUACCACCUAUGCUUCCACAAACACUAGCUGUGUUAAUUAUGCUACCUCGUCGAGCGGGGAUCAUUACCCUUGAUGCGUGCUUUGUUCCAAGAAAGACACCAACCAAGUUAACAUUAAUCACUUCCUCAAAUUCUGAUAACUUGUAUUCAAGUAUAUUUGUUUUGUUUGCUCCCACUAUGCCGGCAUUGUUAAACAUGAUGUCUAGUUUGCCGUACAUGGAAAUCGUUGUGUUCACGGCAUUUUCAAUGUCUUUUUCCUUUGUCACGUCACAAUGAACAUAGGAAGCAGAUGAUUUGUGUAAGUCUUUGCAAACUGAGUAACCUUUGUCGUCUUGGAUGUCAGCUAUAAUGACUUGAGCUCCAUGCUCGGUGAAGAGUCUUGCAGUGGCCUCUCCGAUGCCGCUUGCACCGCCGGUAAUCAAAGCCACCUUCCCCUCAAGCCUUUUAAAUGAAUUGAUCAUAUUGCAUAUGUUAAGUUAGCUAUAACUUAAUUUCAGAUCCAUACUGUUUAAGGAUUUCAAAUUAAGAAAUUAUCUCACAAAAAUCAUAUACUUCAAUUCUCAUAAAACCAUACCAUUUAAAGUCUUUAAAAAAUGUCUCAAUACACUCAUUAACAUUUUCCUUUUCUUUAUUGAAAAACAAGAAAAUUAAAUACAUUUAACUUGUUUAUAAUUUUGACAUCUUUAAUAAGAUUGAAAAUAGGUACAUAAUUUUGUUUAUAAUUGAGUGGGGAGAAUGUAGUACCUUCUUAAGACUGCAGCUACAGAAGGAACGGUUGCCAUUGCUGAGCUUUUUGACGUUUCUGGAUAGUCGAGGAUAAGUCAAGUUGUAUUGAAUCUUCACUAUAUGAGUCCUUCAACUACGUUAUCACAUCAUGCAUUAAAUAUAAGUCCCAAAUUUUAAUAUUUUAAUAUACUUCUAAUGUUGAUACUGAAUUAUUUAUGGGAAAUGCGGCACUAGUUAAGGACCUUAAAAGAUAACUUUUUAUAAAAGUUUGUGCAACAAAUACAUUAAAAAUUGAAAAUUUUAAUUUUUUUAAAGAAUAAUUACUUAAUUUAGUAUUGUUAACGAAUGUUCGGGCAUUCGUUUACAAGACUCUUUAUUUAAGUAACUCCUAUUUGGCUUUGUUGACCGCCGUAUAUAACACGGAGCUAAUAGUAUUAAUUUUUAAAAAUUAUGCUAAAAAUUAACGAAUUCACAACUCAGCAGACAUUUUUCUCUUACGUUUUCCAUGUGUGUCAAAGAAAAUAUAUAAUACUCAAAUGGACCGGAUCUGCACUCAAAUGGCUACCCAAAAAUUAUUUUUUGAAAAAUGUUCUUCUCCCAACAAAAAAUGUUCACUUUCAAAUUUCCAAAAAUACUCAUACAUUAGUUAACUUCCGCUGCGUGAGUUACCUUUUGCUGGGGACAUCACCCACUUCACUUAAGUUAACUCAUGCAAGUGUUAUACAUGAAAAUAUAACCUGCUUGAGUUAACUCAUGUAGAUGUUCAACAUGAAAAAACACCCACUUAAGUUAACUCACGCAGAGAUAUUUUCAAAAGUUUGGUUGGAAUUGAGCUUUUUUAUUGGGAGAAAAGCAUUUUUCUUAUUUUUUUUUUUUUUUGUAUUGGUAUGAGUAUUUUAUGUUUAGCUACCCCUAUAAAAUAUGUUUAGCUACACCAAAAAUAAGUUUAUUUGUGCAAAGUUAUGAGAAAUAAAAUACUCAAAAGAUAAUCAUUUGCUUUAAGAGAUUUAUAUAUUUUCUCUUGUUUUAUAUACGUAAAAUUAUUGUAAAUUUUUUCUCAUGAGUUAAAUUUAAUAUUUUUUUGAUUAAUUUAAACUUUUGUCUUCUUAUAUUUGGCCACGCGGUUUACCACAUAUACUAGAUCAGUUGUAUCGUGUCUGUGACCUAGAUAAUAUAAUCUGCAUAUCCUUAUAUUUACAGCUCCUUAAUAACCACUAGUCCACUACUCAUAUCGAAAAGAACAUAUAUGCAUUUAAAAUGCAUUGUUUUGAACAAUUUUCCGAGAUCAUGGUUCUAUAGGUUUGUUGAGAUAUCACUUCAUGCAGUAAUGUGCCCCUAAUAAUGUUUCCAAUAAUCAUUACCCUUAGGAACUUGUUAAGGAUUUAAAAAUCGAAAUAAUUGAUGAAUUUUAUGUAAAAUAAAGUUAUUUUUUGAACACUUGUUAGCAUUUUCAUAUUUUGAUUUGCGACAAGUGCUUUAAGAAAUGCUUUGAGAACAAGACAAAAUUUCUUCUUUAGACUUCUUAAUUAACAAGUGUUUUAAGAACACUUGUUAGCAUUUUCCUAUUUUGAUUUGCGACAAACUUAUGCAUUAGUUUCAAGCCAAUGUAUGCUUUGGUCUUUGGAUUCUUCUUCCUCUUGAAUGGAUUCAGAUAUGGAGUUUGAUGCAAUCACAAUUUGGCUGCAAGAAUAAGAGCUAUGCACAGGGGGGUUUUAUAGAACACAUGCUUCAUCGGAUGAAAAUUUGCAACUGUUUUAGUGUGUAAUUAAAAUUGUGUUGCACGGUUCAGUCCAUUAUGAAAUCCAAUUUUAAAAGUUUGUAUGAUAACAUAUUUGAAGUUUUGAAUUUAGAUAAAGUUUGAUCUUCAAUUUUUGGCUAGUUCAAAUUAAUCUUUCAUCAAAUUUGAUUGAAGUCUAAGAAGGCGACAGUUUUUUUUAGUUACUACUAAUGAUACUAAUGUUACAAAAAAUGCAAACAAGCAUCAUUUUAUAAUUGUUACUCAUAUUGCUAAAAAACAGUUACCGAAACACUUUGGUAACAAGAGCUUUACUUAACAAUUGUUCAAAUGUUAUUGGAUAUAAUUAGCAACAUUUUUCGUGAUUAAAUCAGUCCAUAACGUCCUUUUAGCGCAAGAAGAUACUAACAAGGAUAUGACAUGAAAUCCAUCAAGGAACACGAGGAAACAUGAAACACGUUAUAGAUAUUCUUGUUGUGGAUGUUGAAAAUCACAUUCAAAAGGACAAUGACAUAAUUUCGACACUCAAUAAUGCAAUCACAACCACUUGCACAGCACAUUUGCAGUAAUGAACUUAGCAAGGAAAAAAAAAACAGACCAAAAGAAACAUGUGAUAAAGAAAAGAGUUUUGCUAACAAGUGCUCCAAACACUACUUAAAAUUCUAAAUUAAUAAUUAUUUCUUAAAAGGUUAAGUACUUCAAUUUCAAAUUUAUAUUUAAAAACAUGCAUUUUUUUUAUUUUUUUAUAUAAAAAAUUACAAUUUAAAGUUCUUAAAAAAUAUCCUCCAUUGGUAUCAUCCUUGGUUGGCACGAUCCCUAAAGAAAAACACCUCACACAAUGUCAAAGUUGUCGUGCAACAAGGGAAGAAAAAGAAUAGUCUCACGAGACAUCAUCAAGUGGCAUAGAAAAAGUUCGUCUAUUUAACAUUAUUAAUUUAAUAAAAUAGAAAUUUGGGGUGUUACAGUUUGGAUCAAUUUUAAAACAAAAUUCUAAAGAUGAUAUAUAUUACAAAAUGAAAAUGAUAAAUUAUGUUUAAACAAAUAAAACAGUAAAAAGAAAAUUAAACUAAUAAGUAGUUUUAAAAAUAUUAGAAAUCAACAAAUAAAUGCAUAUAUCAUACUAAUAAAAAAUAAAUAAAGCGUCCACAAGUCCUAACUCUACUUUUAAAAAUGUUGAAAUGGAUAGGUCAGACGCUGUGAUCGGGGUUUAAACUCCACCUCAUGCACUUGUGUGUGUGAGUUUUAAAUGGUUAUUGUCAUUUCAUUCAUCUGCUGAAAAUAAUAAAUAAAGACAUACAAACAUAUCUAAUAAUACUCAGUUUUGGCAGUUUUGAUUUGAUUCAGUUUUGAAAAAUCAAUUCAAUAUAUAAUAUUUGUAGUUUUCACAAAAAGACAUACAAACAUAUCUAAUAAUACUCAGUUUUGUGCAGUUUUCAUUUUGCUUGGAUCCAUUUGCAGUUUUAUUUAGACUGGUUUGGAUUUAAAACCGUGCAACUAAAUUUGAGUUGUUUUGUCAAAAUAAAAUAAAACUGUGUAACAACUCAAAUAUGGACACUUCAGGCCAAGUUAGGGUUGCAUAUUGUAAGGAACCAACUAUAUGGAUAAAAAAAAAGGUGGGAUAAAGUACAUGGUUUUCUUGAACAUUACAAAGUUGCAAUACAUUCCUAAGCUCUUCAUGAUAAGGAUUGCCAAGUUUGCAAUGCAAAUUAUUGUUAUACAAUGAAGGAAAAGAUUUAACAAUAACAACUAUUUCUUGAACAUUCAACAUUGUUACAAAGAGAGGCAUUAAAGUUCAAAGUCGAAUUUAAGGAAUAACAUGCAUUAUUGACACUAGAAGCUUGAGAGGCAGGGGCAAUAGUGAUGGAGAGAGACUUGUAAUAAAAUUUGUAAAGACUAUCACGUCCAAGAAUGCCUCUCAAUAGGAUCUUAGAAAAGCCCUGAGAUUUGACAAAACAUUCAUUAAGGUGAAACCCGAAAUAACCAUUCUACUUCUAAUCCUCAUCCUAUUUAUAAUUUUUUUAGUUAUCAUCGCCUGUUUCCAUCGCAUCAUGAUUGUACUUUUUAAUUUGGUAUUGAAUUCAAUCCGUAUUUUUUACUUGUCUUAUUUGAAGACGCCCUUAAGGUGUGGAGGAAGAUUGAUAGAAUUCAAAACAAGUUUCUUUGGUAUGCCAACUGAAAUGUAAAGGUGGCAUGGGGGUAAGGAAUGUGAGAAUGGUCAAUUUGAGAUGGUGCUUCAUUCAAGAUGGAAAUGUUUUAUGGAAUGAGGUUUUGGUGGAGAAAUAUGGAAGGUCAAUUGGUGGUUUGGUGGAGGGUGGUGAUCAUGAUAGGCCCACUUAUGCAUCUCGGUGGAGGAAGCAUAUAAUAUAGAGACGAUGGGGCCGACUCAAAUUGGUUCAAUACGAAAAUUUCUAGAAGAGCAUGGAAUGGAGGAAAUACUAGCUUUUGGGAGGUGGCUUGGAGGGGGGAACUUUCUUUCCGGAAUAAAUACCCGUGCUCUUUUCUUUAUCUAAUCAAAAAGAGGUAAAAGUGGGUGAAUUGUGGAUAAAUAAUACAACAAAGAUUAAUUGGGCCUUCUCUUAGAGGCGUCCUUUCUUCAUUUGGGAGUCUAAUAUUUUACGGGAGUUAUUGGAGGAUUUGGAGGGUUAUAGGGGGCACAAGCCGAGUAUGGGUGGUGGUGGAAGUUGAAAGAUGAUAGUAGGUUUUCGGUGAAAUCAAUGUAUAAGAAGUUGGAAGGGUUGAUGCUUGUGGAGGAGUUGCACACAGAAGUGCAAUUGAAGGUGUUUAUGCAUAAUUAGAAGUGCCCGACUCCGUCAAAAGUUAUGGCAUUUUCUUGAAAGCUUUUUCAUUGUGAUGUUACUAGGGAAGUCUGGGAGUGUUGGAAUGGUGUUUUCAUAACAAGAGUCUGGGAGUGUUGGAAUGGUGCAAUUGAAAGCUUAUUUUGUACAACUUUUGUACAACCUUCUCUCUCAUACUCACAUUAUCUUCUUACUCUCUCUCUUUUUCUCUCUCUAUUGUUCUCUAAUGUUUUUGACCAAUAAGAAGAGAACACAAUAAGGUUGUCCCAAAAGUUGUACCAAAAGAGUUGUUCAAAUAUCACUACUCUAAACAAAUUCACCAUCCUCAUUGUGACAAUCACGGUAACGUACAACCACAAGCAUACCACCGCCACCCUCAAUAUUCUACAGACCAUGACCCUUGGAUACUUUUACGAUCAACUACCCAUCCACUGCCACUGCACUAGUAAACUCCGAUAAUGUCGAAUCCGGAAACCGAAAUCUCCGUAUAUAUCAAGCUCUAACUAAUCAAAAGACAAUUUCAAUGAUUCACUAUAAUGAGUGCUAACAAGGGAAAGGUGUCACAUGGCAAGGAAAGCACAAUGAAGAGAAUUUGGGAAUCAAUUUCAUUAAAGAGAAUUGGGAUAAUAUAUAAUUGAAUAUGGGUAAAGAAGAUGAGUUGGAAUUUUUUAUAUAAUCUAUCUCUGAGUGAAUUUUCUCUUCUCUCUGAUUGUGCUUGUUUUUUUACUACAAAAUCUUUAUGUACGUUUAACUAUCUGAUUUCCUUACUUCAAAAAACAAAAUCUUUUUUAAAACAUGGUAAAUCUUCUUGUUUAAAGCCACAGAGGAUUGCACCACCACCACCAAGAUUUAUAUGUUUAGAACAUGGUAAAUCUUCUUGUUCAACUAUCACACAAACACUUGUUUAAAUAACAAACAUUUAUAUGUUUAGACAAUCUGUCACCGUACGUGUACUACACUAACGUCAAUAACGUCAAUAUAUGUUUAUAUGACCGAGUACAAUCUAUUUUUAUGAAAAGAAUAAUUGACACAUAAAGAUUAAGAAUAGAAUAUAAAUUUUAUAAAGAUGAUAAUAAUUUUUAUCAAAUUAGUUUUAUCGAGUAUUUUUUUUUAUUUUAAAAAACUUAGUAUCUGACCCAAAAACACAUUAAUUCGAGUGGUUCAAUUUCACUGUGCUUUUGUGAGGGCUCAAUUUAAAUACAGAGCAAAGCUAUGUAUGGAUUAGUCUAUCAAAAUUGAUAUCGGGGAAAUUAAACUUGAGAUCUUGAAAUACGUACACUCUAAACUCUCAAACAACUCAAGGGGGUUAAUUUUAUCAAGUACCAUUAAAAGUGUGUUUAGAAAAAAGGAGUUUUUUUUAAGGAGAAAAAAAAAAGUUAAAUGGCAUUCAUUUUAAGUUAAUUUUAGUUUUGCUAAUAUGAGUUUUAUUAGAUUGUACGAAUAUAAUAUUAUUUUAUAAGUAUUGAUUGAAAAUUUUAUGGCAAAAUUACACUAAUUGUCUUUUAAAUUAAUUUCAAAUAUAAUUUUAUUUUUAUUGGAUAUGGAUUUUUAAACAUAUAUAAAAUCUAAAAUUCAUAUGAAAUAUAAAUGAAGAACCACAUAUUUUAACAUUAAAAUCUCGUAUCGAAAUGAAGUCAUAGAUUUAAAUUUAAAAAAUGCAUAUGCAAAUUGACCUAUAGAACAAAAAUAACAUGAAAAAAUAUAUAAAAACAAAAUUGUUAUCUAAUAUUAAGUUAAAGGAAUAAUAGAGUAAUUUUGCCAAAUUUUAUUCAUAGUGGGGUACGUACCAGCUUUGACGAAAGUUACAAGACUCAAACACAACAAUUAUUGAAAGUCCUUUAAAAGAAAAAAAAUAAACAAUAAUUAAACAUAAACACAUGUAUCUAAGUAGACGUACGGUCCAAGCAUUCAGACAGAUUGUUUAAAGAUACAAAAUCCAUUAUUUCCGACCGUAAGUCCACCAUCUACAACUAGAUUGUGACCACUAACAUAUUUAGACUCAUCACUUCCCAAAUACAAAGCAGCUUCAGCCACAUCUUUUGGCAAAAGAUUAGCACCCUUUAGGUUAGAAUAAACAUCUAGAACUCCAUCAUCAUCAAGCUUAAAGAAAUUCUUAGCCAACGGAGUUCCGACAACAUAAGGUGACACACAAUUCACUCGAAUACCGUACGGUCCAAGCUCGAUGGCCGUAUUUUUCAUUAGCCC
RNAcentral lists this long non-coding RNA (12473 nucleotides) under Medicago truncatula (barrel medic). Its description in RNAcentral is "long non-coding RNA (MTRU_LNC001797)". Lineage: Eukaryota; Viridiplantae; Streptophyta; Magnoliopsida; Fabales; Fabaceae. The record is from RNAcentral.